RNAcentral lists this ribosomal RNA (459 nucleotides) under uncultured bacterium. Its description in RNAcentral is "bacterial SSU rRNA". It matches the Rfam family "Bacterial small subunit ribosomal RNA", at positions 346 to 796 of the family's 1533-position model. The record is from RNAcentral.
AGGCAGCAGUUGGGAAUCUUCCGCAAUGGGCGAAAGCCUGACGGAGCGACGCCGCGUGAGCGAAGAAGGCCUUCGGGUCGUAAAGCUCUGUUGUGAGGGACGAAGGAGCGCCGUUCGAAGAGGGCGGCGCGGUGACGGUACCUCACGAGGAAGCCCCGGCUAACUACGUGCCAGCAGCCGCGGUAAUACGUAGGGGGCGAGCGUUGUCCGGAAUUAUUGGGCGUAAAGCGCGCGCAGGCGGUCUCUUAAGUCUGAUGUGAAAGCCCACGGCUCAACCGUGGAGGGUCAUUGGAAACUGGGGGACUUGAGGGCAGGAGAGGAGAGCGGAAUUCCACGUGUAGCGGUGAAAUGCGUAGAGAUGUGGAGGAACACCAGUGGCGAAGGCGGCUCUCUGGCCUGCACCUGAUGCUGAGGCGCGAAAGCGUGGGGAGCAAACAGGAUUAGAUACCCGAGUAGUCC